GACGAACGCUGGCGGCGUGCCUAACACAUGCAAGUCGAACGGAGUGUUUAUUUAUAAACACUUAGUGGCGAACGGGUGAGUAACGCGUAGACAACCUACCCUCUAGAUGGGGACAACACCGCGAAAGUGGUGCUAAUACCGAAUGUUGUAAUGUUAUUGCAUAAUGAUAUUACUAAAGGUGGCCUCUAUAUAAAAGCUACCGCUAGAAGAUGGGUCUGCGUCUGAUUAGCUAGUUGGUGAGAUAACAGCUCACCAAGGCAAUGAUCAGUAGCCGGUCUGAGAGGAUGAACGGCCACACUGGGACUGAGACACGGCCCAGACUCCUACGGGAGGCAGCAGUGGGGAAUCUUCCGCAAUGGACGAAAGUCUGACGGAGCAACGCCGCGUGAGUGAAGGAGGUCUUCGGAUCGUAAAGCUCUGUCUUCAAGGACGAAUGUAGAUAUUGUGAAUAAUGAUAUUUAAUGACGGUACUUGAGGAGGAAGCCACGGCUAACUACGUGCCAGCAGCCGCCGUAA
RNAcentral lists this ribosomal RNA (516 nucleotides) under uncultured bacterium. RNAcentral describes it as "partial 16S ribosomal RNA". It matches the Rfam family "Bacterial small subunit ribosomal RNA", at positions 28 to 523 of the family's 1533-position model. The record is from RNAcentral.